This is a long non-coding RNA of Lycium barbarum (goji berry), 3892 nucleotides long. RefSeq lists it as uncharacterized. The record is from RefSeq and is a predicted model, not a curated record. NCBI's taxonomy places the organism in Eukaryota, Viridiplantae, Streptophyta, Magnoliopsida, Solanales, Solanaceae. The transcript is spliced from 7 exons.
UUUUCUUGCUCUUCUUCUGGAUUUACACCGUGUUUUUUCCUUCCUAUUUCAUGUUAGUUUCUUAUUUUGCUCGAUAUAAUUUUUAUGCUAAUUGUUGAUGAUGAAUAUUUGCCCUCUCUAUCACUUAUAUUCUCUUGCUCGACUCUUCUUCUUCUGAAAUGGCAAUGGUGAAGAAAAAGGCACAAUAAUCUCUGUGUGAUUUGGCAAGCAAGUUCUUCUAAUUUCUUCUGCUUUCCAAGUAUGAGUUAUAUACAUUGCUGUUGUGACAAAUUGUUCGAUGAUAUGACGGACCCGAGAACCACUACAACUUGAUUUCGGCGUUUCCGGUUCUCUACAACAUAUUGAUCUAUCUUUCAGCAAUUUCAGAGGUGAUAUGUGCUUUUCAGUUGUAAAUUAAGUCAUGCAAUGAUGAAUUGUCAUCUGUUAGUAUACAAUGUCAAUCAUCAAGAUGGUAACUUUUACCCACGAACCAAUCUUGGACUAUAUUAUGAAGGUGAGCUAUAAUGUCUAUGUAAUUUGGCAACUUUCUAUUUCCAUCUGUUAGGACUGAUCUAUUUUUAGGGUGUGUUUCAUUUUCAGUCUCUUGGUCUAGAUUGUUGCUUUGCCCCUUCAAUGGGAAGAUCAGUUGAGGUUACUACAGGUCCAGGAAUGAGCCACACCUUAAUUAACUUAGCUGAAAGUGAUAGACUAGGUAUACUAUCUGAAGUAAGUGCUGCCUUCCCCAAUCUUAGAUGCAAUAUGGUGAAUGCUCAAGUGUCGAACUUUAACACCUGAGUAGAAGCUAUAUCGCAAGUUACUGAUGAGAAAAAUGGGGUUACAAUUUUGGACCCUGAAAAGUUGUUUAUGAUCUAGCAACUUUUUUGCACUGUUCUUAGAAGUAGUAAAAAUCAAGAGAUGUCAUACUUUGCUAUAUCAUGGGGCCACCCAGACUGAGAGAAGGCUUAACCAGUAGAUGUUUGUAGACGCGGACUAUUAACAUGCGAUAAGUGAAAAUCAGACAUGAAGAAAGGCCAAAUAUGUUGUUAAUUGGCACGACAAUGACUACUCAGUAGUGAUAAUUCGGUGCAAGAGUAGCCUAAAACUUCUAUUUUGUAUGAUCAAUACUUUGGGAGUUAUGCAGCAUGUUGGUUUUCCAUAGUAAUGUCGAUGUUGAAGGACCAAAAGAUUAAGAGGUACUAUAUUUUCUUAUGUAUUUCAGAAAUUUUACAUUGUUUAUAGCUUUACAUCUAACUAGAACUUGUUCUAUACAUAUAUUUGUGGACUCUAUGAUAAUCUUUGUUACGUUCAAGGAAUACUACAUAAGGCAUCUUGAUGAAUCACCUGCAAAAUCAAGAUGCAGGAAGACAAGUAGCCUUUCAAUGUCUUGAAGCAACAAUUGAAAGAAGCGUUUCCAAGAUUAGCACUUUGAUUUACCGUUUUUGACAUAUAGGUAUAAUUUUUCAGCUCUAGCUCGCUCUUUCAAGUAAUUCACUUAAGUAUUGACCAGUAAAUAGAUGCAACAGGAAAAAGGAGAAGAGGGGGCAAAAAGAGGAUGUAAUGCACUGGUUUCAACCUUUUCUUUUUUGUUUUGUCUAUUUACAUUAACUUCUGUUCCAGGGGAUUCUUAUUCCUGUUGGAGAUGUUGGUGCACGUUGAAAUCUCUUUCUUCAUGUUUUCUUGGUUAAAUUUGUACAUGGAUGUAGUUAAUUCGUAAAUUUUUUCAAUAGAAGCACACUGAAUGGCCAUCCGGAACAAAAUUGUAAGAAACAAAAAAGGAAGAAUUUUGAUGCAGCAAAUUUGUUUGACGAUAAACUUGAAACAACUGAACAAAUAUUUUAUCCAAUUUUACCAGUUGUUCCACAAAAUAACCAUUUAUCAUGCAGAAACUCCAAAGGUACAUUGCUUACUUCCAGUAGAAAAUUAUUGAAAAUUAUUUUAUGCAUUAUGUAUUGUCAAUUCACUAUGAAUCGAAAGCUAAUUACUGACUCAGUUCAAAAUUACUACUUUUUGGCAGAUAAUUAAAUGGGAGCUGACUUGACAAGAGGACCCAUGAAGAAAUAAGAUAGCCAUACAUGGCUUUAGUGAGAUGAACACCAUGCCAGUUAACGUGUUGAGAAGGUCAGGACAAGAGCUUGCAGAAGGAGAACCCAUGUGUUGAAUCCGUCAAAGUCAAUAUAUGCUCCAUGUUGGUUUCAAUUCUGCGUUUUAUACGGAGUUAUUUUGGAAGAAAGGGCACUUGUUUCAUCAAGUUGACAGCUUGGUCAAGUGAAGAAGAUUGGAGAAAAAGAGUUUGGACGAAACGGGAUUUGAAUUUAGACUAGCGUAAAGGGCGAAAAAGUUAUUUCGGAAGAUAGAGCCCUUGUUUCAUCCAUUUAACAAGUUGGUCAAGUGAAGAAGAUAGGAGAAAAAGAUUUUGGAGGAAACGGGAAUUGAGUUUGGAGAGGCGUAAGGAGCGAAAAAAGUAUGUAAAGCCGUUCCUUUCCUUCUCUUGGCAUGUCCUAGGUGUACUAGGGUUGGAAUUGAGCCUCGGAAAGUAUUCUAUUCAUAGAAACUCGAGAUUGAAAAUGUCCUCUUUCCAUUCAAUAUAAUUGAAUCUUAAUUGUAUGUUUGGUUGAAAGAAUUGUGUAAGCUUUUAUAAAUUGCCUAGAAAGUUAGGGAAUGUCCCUAGGACCUCCAUGGAUGACUCUAUAGACCUAAUAUACGUAAUUUGCGCCCAUCGCUUCAUUUGACCCGAGGUGGGCCCACAAUUCCCGACUUGUUUCUUAUUGUACUAAUGUCUUAUUUCCAAGCCAUGUAAAAUGAAACGUUUUUAACUAUCCUUCUAGCUACUAAAGGAUAAUUGUUUUAAUAGUUCCCGUGAGUCUUGUAAACUAUUUUGGAAUAUGGAAGCGACCUCAGAAAGAGUAUUUCUCCGUACUUAUUAUGACAUCCGAAAUACACUUACUAUGAUUCUGUCUGAUUUCAUUAUUUCGAUUUGUCAUUCGUUAUGUCUUAUUGAGUCUCUGGAAAUAUAUGGUAUUUUAUACUGCAUUUAGUUUCUCACUACUCCACUCGUGGAUGUCUCAAUGUUUCCCUCACUGAGCCCGGUCCAGGAUAUGUUAAUGUCAAGCGUAUUCCACUGCAUUGUUCGCCGUGCCUCGAUGUGAGAGGGCAGGUUUACUUGUACAUGGGUUGUGGAGUAUGCUGUGCCAUGUACACACAUUCUGAUAUGACAUGAUAUGAUUUGAUAUGGUCAUCUGAUAUGAUAUGUUAUGAUACGGGGUUAUUCCCUAUUCUGGAGGAUGAUGUGUUGUGGCGCCAGUGUCGGGGUGGCGACCACGUUCUGUUCACCGUGUCCCUUGACGGGGGCCGGAUAUGAUAUGACAUAUGUUUCUGCAUACGUUCUUUAUGUUUUGGAAAUAUGCAUUUGAUAAUCUGGAUAUUACACUCAUUUUCUGCAAGUUCUGUUUCGACUAUGAUUUUGUUUCUGUACUUCAGGCUUUACAUAAUCAGUACAUAUUCCGUACUGACCCCCUUUCUUCGAGGGCUACGUUUUCAUGCCGCGCAGGUACAGACGACAGAUUUGUUGAUCCGCCUGCUUAGGACUAUAUUCUGCUAUCUUGGAGUGCUCUAUUGUUCGGAGCCUACGUUUUGGUACAGUCUUUGCCAUUGUACAUAUGUAUGCUAUUCAGGGGUACGACGGGGCCCUGUCCCGUCUUAUGAUUCUGAUGUGUUCUGCAGAGGUCUGUAGACAUACAUGUGGGUUCUGUAUAUGCUUUGGGUUGAUAUGAUCUGUGAUAGCCUUAUCGGCUUCUACGUGCUAUAUCUGUUCAUCUGCGAUAGUUAGUGACGCCAUUUGACUUUUAUAUCUAUAUAUUCUGCUAAUAUACCGGUUUGGGUUAUGGGGUACGUCCGGGUGUCCAGCACGGACACU